AGAAAUACGUCCACUUGGUAAUCCUCUGAGCUCGAUCCUCCAGAGAGCAGACUGGAGACUUUAGUAAUGCACCUGAUAAGCUUCUGUUUUGAUCAGUGAAGCAGAACAGAAGCUGCCCCUCUGUCAGUGAGUUGACUACCUUUUCGCAGGACGAAUGGUGAACUAAAGUUGCAGAUCUGUGCCAGUUUCAGCUGCCUGAAUUCUAUUGAACAAUAUCCUACGCAUUUCAGUCUUAGAUGUUCAUAUCUUUGUGCACUAAUGGUGAAACUGCAUACACGAGUAAUUGAGAAAACGUGAUUUUCAGAGAGGGAGAGAAAUAUUCCUAAAUCUGAUGGUAAAAUUUUGAAGAAUUAUCGAAUAAAAACGUAAUUCUUGAAUGGUGUACUCUCGUUACUGAUCUGUCCACCAAAGAUCGCUCAUGUGGUCUACGCUUCAGCAAUGUAUCAGGGUUUGUCAUAGACAGCACUGAGAGUUUGAGGAUUUACUUUUGAUCUUAAGGUGAGCUAAAUUUGCAUUGAUUGUUGGUCAGAUUAACUGUAAAGAAGGAAAUAGAACUCCCAAGAACCAUCAUUUAAAGUUAGCUGCAGUUCAGGGUUUCUAGCUUGUCUGCAGAUAGACGUUUUUGGGUGCUAGUAGCAUUAAGGAAUGCUUGCCUAUCGACUUGAGAACUUCAAGAUAAACUCUCUAUUGGUUUCAGACUGAUUCAGGGGUGCUGAAACUUCUCUUCUACCAUAAUUAUGGUAGCCCUUGGGCAGACCUUUAGCUGUGGCCCAGCUUCUGAACUCUAAUCCCAAAAUAGGACCAGUCUCAUGAACAAAUAGAUUUGCGCUUAAACCUCCCAAUGCUAAUGGACUUCCUUGACAUGAAGGUGUCCAGUUGAGCAAAAUAUUUAAAGGAGGUAUACUUGCUUUGCAUGCUAUCAUUGUCAUUAUCUUACACUUAAACUUUUUGAAAAAAUUAGUUAAAAUAUUCACAAAGUAGAAUCUACCAACUCAUCCUGUAAAAGUUCACAUUGCAAUAUCAUUGUUUUAAGCACUUACAUAUUUUUGCCCCUUUUUUUCAGAACGAUCUUAGCUGAAAAGAUAUACGCCUGUUCAACCUCUGCAUCGAAAUCACAAAAGGCCUUGAUAAGCACUUGCGCACCCCACGAGAACUUGUAUUUUCUUUCUUUUCCUGUGAGAAAGAUUGCUGU
RNAcentral lists this long non-coding RNA (1192 nucleotides) under Bemisia tabaci. Its description in RNAcentral is "lncRNA ENSASIAIIG010070". The record is from RNAcentral. Lineage: Eukaryota; Metazoa; Arthropoda; Insecta; Hemiptera; Aleyrodidae.